This 216-nucleotide non-coding RNA is filed under the name Clostridium tepidiprofundi. Its description in RNAcentral is "T-box sequence". It matches the Rfam family "T-box leader". From Rfam's summary of the family: Uncharged tRNA acts as the effector for transcription antitermination of genes in the T-box leader family. T-boxes are found upstream of many aminoacyl-tRNA synthetase genes and some amino acid biosynthetic genes usually in Gram-positive bacteria. The record is from RNAcentral. Lineage: Bacteria; Bacillati; Bacillota; Clostridia; Eubacteriales; Clostridiaceae.
UCAAAAGCAUUGAAAAAGAGGAGUAGGAAUAUGGAAUAUUAAGAGAGGAAGAUUCGUUGGCUGUGAGAUCUUCUAUAGGAAGUGUUCUGAAGGUAGCUUUGGAGCUUCUUCACUGAAAAUAUAGUAGGUGGAGACGGUGUUCACGCAUCGUUAAAUUAUGAGUGCUUGUAUGAUAGUACAGGAAUAAAGGUGGUAACGCGCACGGUCGUCCUUUUU